ACAAAUAUUAUGGAAGUAAAGUAACUAUAGGUUGGGGCACUGAAGGGUGGAUAGAAGCUCAUCCAGAGAAAGGGUGUAGAGAGGAUUUUCUAGGUAGAGGACAGGAUGCGAUGAGAGAACAUAGGCUGCCAGACAUUGUCUUACCUUAGCAACAUCUCUUUGUGUUUUGUUUUCUUUCUAAGAGGAAGAGUGAGGCACCAUGGGAGAACCUCAGGUGCUCUGGGUUCAAGCCUUCUGUUAUUUUCCACAUCAGUGGGAAGGUGUCCACAUGUUUUGAAGCCAAGGGACAUAUUACUUUACAGUAGAGGGAGAAAAGUUAGAGGAUGUUGGAAAAUGGAGAAUUGGAGCAUAGAGCCAGGAUAAGCAGACUGUGUUAUACAGCUCAUGGCAACUGCUCUUGGAGUCAUUGGGAGUAAUAUUCAUUAUCACAUAAGUUAAUGCUUUGGAUGAGUGCCUGUGACUCUUCUGCUUCUAGAAAGCCAAAUUGCCUAUCUUCCACAGACCUUCAAGAGACUUCUCCUCACAUGGAAGGGACCUGACGAAAGGCUUUGACCAGCACCUGCUUUUGCCUAGAGAAGGAAGGUUUGGUCAGCAGAGCUGGUGGCAGCAAGAGAAACAUCGGAGCACAGGAUCCAAGAAGUUAUGUGCAAUAUCCAGUCUUCCCAGUCUCAUUCUUGGGAAGAUUUCACAUGCCAGAAACCAGUCAUCUCGUCUUUAACAAAUGGGAUUUUUCAACCCAAAACGUGGUUUUAAAUUUGCACAUUUACUGAUAGGAUAAUCCGUGGGAAGAUGGGGUGAAGAGAAGCAAGUAUACAUUUCGCCAGAGGAAACCCCAUCUCUGGAUCAUGUUCAUUGCGGACAGCAGACAAACAGGGUCCCGUUCAAAAACAAUAAAUACCUCUCUCCGCUCUAAAGGUGUCGUGGAAAUGUCCCAGCUUAAAUGUCGCCUCUUCAAUGGAGUUCUUCCUUGACUGCCUCACGUAAUAGUAGUAAAACGUUCUCAGAUGGAUUGGGGUGCUGGUUACGCAGCUCAGUGAACAUACCAAAACCAGUUGAACUGGCCGCUGUGAAUGGGCGAGAUGUAAGCUGAGAUUUGCAUGCAGUCAAAAAAAAUUAAAUUGGCAAGAAUCCGAAAAAUCAAGGGCCUGGCGCAAGCUGACUUAUCAGGGAAAGCGGCACCCUCACACCAUCUUAAAAGCACCACAUCCUUGCUCUUCCUGCAAAGAACACACCAAGAGCAGAUGUCUCCUGGAACCCACGAGGCCCUUUCCCCAGAUUCUCUCAUCACUGUGUUAUUUCUCUCCAGUCUCAGACCCCUGGCUUCACCCUUUUUCUCCAUCCUCACUCCCCAUUCUGUGUGAAGACAGGGGCUUUUUGAACUUCAGAUUCUCACCAGAUUCUAGACUCUGCUCCCCCUGUCCCAGCAUUGGUAUCCCACUUAGAUUCAGAGGAGAAGCUCCACCUGCAUGGAAUCUGACAGGGAUCGGCUCAGUCUCCCAGCAAAGGGGUGAUAGAAUUCCUACCCCAACACUAGGAACUGCUAUAGAAGAUAAUUAUCUGUUACAGAAUGUCUUCUAGACAUUGUCUAAACAACCUGAGAAAAUGACUCUUUUAUUUUGUAAGAUCACAAAUCUCAUUUAACCGACCUUAGAUGAUGCUGGAAACAUGACAUAUUCUUGUG
Long non-coding RNA from Mustela erminea (ermine), 1681 nucleotides. RefSeq lists it as uncharacterized. The transcript has 6 exons. NCBI's taxonomy places the organism in Eukaryota, Metazoa, Chordata, Mammalia, Carnivora, Mustelidae. The record is from RefSeq and is a predicted model, not a curated record.